UACGUAGGGUGCGAGCGUUGUCCGGAAUUAUUGGGCGUAAAGAGCUCGUAGGCGGUCUGUCGCGUCGGUCGUGAAAACUUGGGGCUUAACCCUGAGCUUGCGGUCGAUACGGGCAUGACUGGAGUUCGGCAGGGGAGAGUGGAAUUCCUGGUGUAGCGGUGAAAUGCGCAGAUAUCAGGAAGAACACCCGUGGCUAAGGCGGCUCUCUAGUACGGUACUGACGCUGAGACGCGAAAGCGUGGGGAGCGAACAGG
Molecule: ribosomal RNA, 254 nt
Filed under: uncultured bacterium
Lineage: Bacteria
Description: partial 16S ribosomal RNA
Rfam family: Bacterial small subunit ribosomal RNA
Source: RNAcentral